GAUGAAGAACGUAGCGAAAUGCGAUAAGUAAUGCGAAUUGCAGAAUCCGUGAGUCAUCGAAUCUUUGAACGCACAUUGCGCCCAUUGGUAUACCGAAGGGCAUGCCUGUUCGAGCGUCAUUAUCACCCCUCAAGCCCCGGCUUGGUGUUGGGCUCUCGGUGGUCGUCUCCGACCACCCGUCUCAAAGAUAGUGACGGCGUCCCAGAGGGAACCGGUACGAGGAGCUUUCACGAGCAUGUACGCGGGACGACUCUGCGGGCGACGGUCUUAUUUACUUUAUAUACAAGUGUUGACCUCGGAUCAGCUAGGAAUACCCGCUGAACUUAAGCAUAUCAAUAAGCGGAGGA
RNAcentral lists this unclassified non-coding RNA (347 nucleotides) under soil metagenome. Its description in RNAcentral is "partial contains 5.8S ribosomal RNA, internal transcribed spacer 2, and large subunit ribosomal RNA". The stretch from base 1 to 119 matches the Rfam family "5.8S ribosomal RNA", at positions 35 to 154 of the family's 154-position model. The record is from RNAcentral.